AAUGAACGCUGGCGGCAUGCCUAACACAUGCAAGUCGAACGAAAGCUUCGUCCUUUGUUGCGCUCGGGGGCGGAACGCGUGGGAAGCUGCCCGUUGGUACCGAAUACUAGUUAUUAGUGACUGCUAAUGCCGGAUGAUUUCGUAAGUCAAAGGAUUUAUCGCUGAGGGAUGAGCCCGUGUAGGUUUCGCCUGUUGGUGUUGUAAGAGCGCACCAAGGCGACGAUCCUUAGCUGGUCUGAGAGCAUGAUCAGCCACACUGGAGCUGAGACACGGCCGAGAAUCCUACGGGAGGGAGCAGAGGGGUAUACUAGACAAUGGGCGAAGGUGUGAUACAGCAACGCGGGGUAAGUCAUGAUGGUCGUAGGGUAGUAAAGCCCUUUUAACCGGGAUGUGAAUGACAGUACCGGGAGAAUAAGCUCCGGCUAACUCCGUG
Molecule: ribosomal RNA, 433 nt
Filed under: uncultured bacterium
Lineage: Bacteria
Description: partial 16S ribosomal RNA
Rfam family: Bacterial small subunit ribosomal RNA
Source: RNAcentral